This 281-nucleotide long non-coding RNA is filed under the name Elaeis guineensis (African oil palm). Its description in RNAcentral is "long non-coding RNA (EGUI_LNC007294)". The record is from RNAcentral. Lineage: Eukaryota; Viridiplantae; Streptophyta; Magnoliopsida; Arecales; Arecaceae.
GACCUUCCCCUUGAGGCCGCGAUCGGUAUAGAUGUUAGAGCGAUCACCAUCCAAACAUAAUGACCAUCGUAUUAUUACCUCGAAGGCAGAUCAUGAUCCCUCCGAUUUAUUCGGCCAAUCGUCCAAUCCGGCAUCCCUCCAUUCCACUCGGCAUCUCACGCUGGAUACCCAGGAGCAACAAUCCACGUACUUAUCAUACAACUACAAUAUUUCUUUUCAUGUAGAUAUAAAAUCGUUACUCACGUAAACCAUGCAUGGUGGACAAGAAUCAGGAGAACCCC